Long non-coding RNA from Paramormyrops kingsleyae, 1778 nucleotides. RefSeq lists it as uncharacterized. The record is from RefSeq and is a predicted model, not a curated record. NCBI's taxonomy places the organism in Eukaryota, Metazoa, Chordata, Actinopteri, Osteoglossiformes, Mormyridae.
UUAGUUUCUAUAAAUUGUUUGCGUAUACAGCGCUCCCUUGUGUUGAAUUGUCUUAAAAUCCAUAUUAUAUAAGCGGUGACGUGCGGAUUCAGAACUCACUUAAUAUAAUUCAAAUUCCUAAAUAUAUUUGCAUUGUCAGAGAGUUUUAUAAAACGACUGCAUUUUAAUUAAAUGAUUGUUGAGAUGCCGAGCAGGUACAUAUAGGUAUAACACAAUAAAUAAGCUCAGUUUCACUUCAGUUAGUGGAUAGGACAAAAGUAGGGCUUUAAAAAAAAAAUUAAAAAAUCAUACCAAUAAUCCAAAUCUAGCGGAGAAUCUGCAUUCACGAGGAACUGAAAAUAUUUUGUGUAAAGUCUUGGGAUAGUCUUGACCAGAGCAUUUAUAAUUUAGUGAUUUUUUAAAAAAAUAUUAUUAUUUUGUAUAAAUAGAGGUUCCUGUCAAAGUCAAAAAUCCUUGAUGCAGUACACAAAUUUAUGUGGCGCUUUUAUGCAUUGUAAAUUUACAAACGGGUCGGUGCCUACCCUAUCACGAUAGCAAGGUUAAAUCUAGUCGAAAUUCUAAUCCUUGCACUCGCAUUAGAACUUUAAUUAUGUAUCCAGAAAAGUACGAUAUAAAAGCCCCCAAAGCACAUUUGUAUGUCAUUUACACCACACUACAAGACGCACUGGAAACCACUCGUAAGGGAAGCGUAUCCAAAUGACGCAGCGCCCUAGUUUGCUGCACUAGUAGGCUAAGUUGAAGAUGACGGAAUACUUGGCGUCCAUUUUCGGCGCAGAGAAAGACAAGUGAGAUAAAAUGCAGUACGUGUGCUUCGGAGCGAGUUAAUUGUUCUUUCUAUUUUAAAAUUGGGGCUUGUCGCCAUGGGGACCGCUGUUCCAGGUUGCAUAAUAAGCCGACAUUUAGCCAGGUGCAGUCACCGAUGUGGAGAUGCAGGAACAUUACAAUGAAUUCUUUGAGGAAGUCUUUACAAAGAUGGUGGAGAAGUAUGGUGAAGUGGAGGAGAUGAAUGUGCACGAUAACCUGGGGGAUCAUUUAGUUGGCAACGUAUAUGUGAAGUGAAUGCACAUGAGACGGUUUCUGCAACUUCAUGCAUCUGAAGCCCAUCUCCCGAGAGCUCCGUAGGGAGCUUUAUGGUCGCCGUCGUAAAAGGUAGACAACUGUCGGCAAACUGAGUGCCGUAAUGUAACAUUUUAUUCUGUUAUUACUACACGCUUUUCAGUUCUUUACAAAAACAUUCCUGUCUCCUGUAACAGUCACAGUGGUAAGUAAUUCUUGUGAAUGCUAAUUCUGUUUGGCAUAAUAGCUAAGGGGGGCAGUGCGUGGCUCAGUGGGCUAAGCCUCUGUGGCUGUUAUCAGAAGGUCACCAUUUUGAACCCUGGUUCAGCAGGAUGGCCACAUUUCCAUGGGCCCGUGACCAAGGCCUGUAACCCCCAGCUCCCUGGGUACCACAAGGUGGCCGCCCUCUUGCUGCCCCCCCCCCCCCCCCCCAAGCUUGCUGUCACCUAUAUGGACAGCCACAGCUUGACAGCAUGGCUGCAUGUAGAGGGUUAGGGAUACGUCGUGUUCUUUCUGCAAUCUGAUUCUCCCACACUUCACUUCCAUAUUAGAUUCUUUUGUGUAUGUCUGUCAUAACCUCCCAUUGUUCAGGAUCCACUUAAAAUGUUUAAACAUAAUAUGCAUUGAUUGAGUUUUGGGUAAAAAAAAAUAUUACUGAUUUCCAUCUUAUUUUGUAAAGCUUCAAUUUUAGGAACUGUGGCAGCUUGGAUCAAAAACUGGCU